GUGAGGGUCCGGUGCCACCUCCGCCCUCCCCGACGGCGCUCCGACUGGGACCCGGCCUGGAAGGGCCCGGUGCGCGAGGCCAACGGGCGAGCGACAAGCCUGCAGAUCGUGGGCAAGUGUUAUUUAUGAGUAGAGGUUAUAUGUAAAUGACAGCAACAGAAAGGAGUUAUCAUCAUAGCACCCCUUGCAAAUUCCAGUUUACAAGUAAUUUGGUCAGUGAAAAAAAAUAAAGGUCAGCAAAGUAAGAUGUCAGCUCUCCCUUAAGCUACUGCUCUCUGAUUCUGUCUCUUCCCCUUCUCUUACUGUUAGCUGCCUGAUACAGAGAGGGAUCAUCCAGACCGUGUGGGCAUGCUGGCUAAAGUGAAAAGUGACUUCCAGUGUCCUGGGAACCAGCAAGGAUGUUUUCCAUAAUUCCAACCGUUGGCUUAACAUCAAUCACUGAGGUAACAAGACCAAAUGUCAAGGAUAAAGACACCACUCCACCCUAGUCAGUGAGAUGUCCCUCAUUCUUGUGGAAGGCCUGGGCCAAGAGACCAAGCUUUGCACAAGAAACCUGGGAAUUGUGUUGGCAAAAGGAGACUCUGAGAUGGCUCUAGUCUCCCCGUACAUAGGAUUCACUUAUCCUUGCAGAUGACAAGGCAGGACACUUAGAAAGCAGAUCAGGUACUGCUCUUAUUUGUACCUUUCACUCAACUCUCCCCACAACUGCUCCAUAGAACAGAGCUUUGGGUAUUGCUUCACAGAGAACACAGUAACUGCAGUUUCAGAACCACUGCAUUCUUUACGGUCAGUUUAUUAUAACCCAUCAUACCGUUAAGAAUCACAGUUUAAGGCCAUUUGUCAUGGGCAUUAUGUAGCAAAGAAAACCUUGUCCACAGCUUCUGCCACCAAGCCACUCCCACAGUGGACUGCAAAUGUAGUAUUGCCACACUCACCAGAGAAGACUAGAAUAAACACUUUCAUCUGGGGCUUCAGCUAGCCCCUUCGGUUUCCUCUCUAGAAAAGAAGAUUCAAUCUAUAGCAAAAGCUGCUUAGAAAACAGAAGUCAGGGGCAGCUCCUGUGGCUCAAAGAGUAGGGUGCUGGUCCCAUAUACCAGAGGUGAUGGGUUCAAACCCAGCCCCGGCAAAAAAAAAAAAAAAAAGAAAACAGAA
Long non-coding RNA from Nycticebus coucang (slow loris), 1152 nucleotides. RefSeq lists it as uncharacterized. The transcript is spliced from 2 exons. The record is from RefSeq and is a predicted model, not a curated record. NCBI's taxonomy places the organism in Eukaryota, Metazoa, Chordata, Mammalia, Primates, Lorisidae.